RNAcentral lists this non-coding RNA (31 nucleotides) under Rattus norvegicus (Norway rat). Lineage: Eukaryota; Metazoa; Chordata; Mammalia; Rodentia; Muridae. The record is from RNAcentral.
UGCUUCUAGUCUUAGUUGAACUAUGGUUGCA